ACUGCCCCUAGAGGCAUUGCUGGUUGAGCUUUUGUGUCACAUGUGUGUCAACAGGUGGCAGAGAGAAUUUUUUCUACUAUGCUCAGUGUCCUGACCUAUGAACAUCAGAAUGAUUAGUACUCUAGCAUU
Small nucleolar RNA from Rattus norvegicus (Norway rat), 129 nucleotides. Ensembl annotates it as small nucleolar RNA SNORA17. Lineage: Eukaryota; Metazoa; Chordata; Mammalia; Rodentia; Muridae. The record is from Ensembl.